This 497-nucleotide ribosomal RNA is filed under the name uncultured bacterium. RNAcentral's name for it is "partial 16S ribosomal RNA". It matches the Rfam family "Bacterial small subunit ribosomal RNA", at positions 28 to 507 of the family's 1533-position model. The record is from RNAcentral.
GAUGAACGCUGGCGGCGUGCCUAAUACAUGCAAGUCGAGCGAACAGACGAGGAGCUUGCUCCUUUGACGUUAGCGGCGGACGGGUGAGUAACACGUAGGUAACCUACCUAUAAGACUGGGAUAACUUCGGGAAACCGGAGCUAAUACCGGAUAAUAUUUCGAACCGCAUGGUUCGAUAGUGAAAGAUGGCUUUGCUAUCACUUAUAGAUGGACCUGCGCCGUAUUAGCUAGUUGGUAAGGUAACGGCUUACCAAGGCAACGAUACGUAGCCGACCUGAGAGGGUGAUCGGCCACACUGGAGCUGAGACACGGUCAAGACGCCUACGGGAGGCAGCAGAAGGGAAUCUUACGCAAUGGGCGAAAGCCUGACGGAGCAACGCCGCGUGAGUGAUGAAGGUCUUCGGAGCGUAAAACUCUGUUAUUAGGGAAGAACAAACGUGUAAGUAACUGUGCACGUCUUGACGGUACCUAAUCAGAAAGCCACGGCUAACUACGUG